GGCCUAAACCCGGUUUUGCCGGGCAUGGCUCAAAAACCCAUCGCUGAUACUGAACCCCGUGUUCAGCAACUCAGCGAUGGGCUAUAUCGGGAAACCGGUAUAGGGCCGCAAGGCCU
RNAcentral lists this small RNA (116 nucleotides) under unclassified sequences. Its description in RNAcentral is "LOOT RNA". It matches the Rfam family "LOOT RNA". From Rfam's summary of the family: Latescibacteria, OD1/Parcubacteria, OP11, TM7. Lineage (Microgenomates, aka OP11) The record is from Rfam by way of RNAcentral.